Molecule: ribosomal RNA, 253 nt
Filed under: uncultured bacterium
Lineage: Bacteria
Description: partial 16S ribosomal RNA
Rfam family: Bacterial small subunit ribosomal RNA
Source: RNAcentral
UACGUAGGGGGCUAGCGUUGUCCGGAAUCAUUGGGCGUAAAGCGCGUGUAGGCGGUCCGGUAAGUCCGCUGUGAAAGUCGGGGGCUCAACCCUCGGAUGCCGGUGGAUACUGUCGGGCUUGAGUACGGAAGAGGCGAGUGGAAUUCCUGGUGUAGCGGUGAAAUGCGCAGAUAUCAGGAGGAACACCAAUUGCGAAGGCAGCUCGCUGGAACGGAACUGACGCUGAGGCGCGAAAGCGUGGGGAGCGAACAGG